RNAcentral lists this long non-coding RNA (360 nucleotides) under Gossypium barbadense (sea-island cotton). RNAcentral's name for it is "long non-coding RNA (GBAR_LNC020071)". The record is from RNAcentral. Lineage: Eukaryota; Viridiplantae; Streptophyta; Magnoliopsida; Malvales; Malvaceae.
AAAAACUUUGAAAUUGAUUCAGUUGAUUGUCUAUAUUUGAGAAUAUUAUUAUUGCUUGACUAAAGUAGCAACACUAUGUAACACCCUAUUUUGGCCCGGGUCUAAAAGACCUGCAUUACAGACAAGCCCACAUGGCCCAACUAAUAAAAACUAAGAUUGGCCUAUAUGGCCCAAAUCCAAACAAAACAGCGGCUCAAAUCGGACCCUAGCCCAAAGCUCGGGGAGCAGAUGGAACCCUAGGGCAGUGCCACAAGCCAAGCUUCGUCCCCGAAUCUUCGUGAUCUUCACCUGCAAGGAAACCAACAACAUAUGGAAAGAAAAAUCAUGUAUUUGCGAAUCAAAGAUAUGACCAGAUUUUUU